UGCGUAGGCGGGUUUCUAAGUCAGAGGUGAAAGCCUGGAGCUCAACUCCAGAACUGCCUUUGAUACUGGAAGUCUUGAGUAUGGCAGAGGUGAGUGGAACUGCGAGUGUAGAGGUGAAAUUCGUAGAUAUUCGCAAGAACACCAGUGGCGAAAGCGGCUCACUGGGCCAUUACUGACGCUGAGGCACGAGAGCGUGGGGAGCAAACA
RNAcentral lists this ribosomal RNA (207 nucleotides) under uncultured bacterium. RNAcentral's name for it is "partial 16S ribosomal RNA". It matches the Rfam family "Bacterial small subunit ribosomal RNA", at positions 568 to 774 of the family's 1533-position model. The record is from RNAcentral.